Molecule: long non-coding RNA, 2043 nt
Filed under: Macaca mulatta (Rhesus monkey)
Lineage: Eukaryota; Metazoa; Chordata; Mammalia; Primates; Cercopithecidae
Description: lncRNA (ENSMMUG00000058133.1)
Source: RNAcentral
GCUCUCCGAGGAGCUUUCGAUACUUUGGGGUCAAGUUUGAGGCAGUUGUAAGUGUACUAAGUUUAGUUUUGCUAAUAAUGGUAUUCUACGUGUGUCAGCCUCGUAUGGACUUCUGUAAUGACUAAUGGAUAUGUUUAUGCCCUGAGCAUUUGCUCUAGGACUUUUAAAUGAAAUCCCCAAACUCAAGAUUACCUUAUUUGGAGAAAUUAUUAGUGUUAUUAUGUUUAAAAUGUAAUAGAUAGAGCGAUAUUUUACCUUUCACUUUGGGACUCGCACAGGAUGUUUGCAGCUUUUGAUACACACGAGUCUGGUUCUGUUGCCCAGGCUGGAGUGCAAUGGUUUGAUCUCGGCUCACUGCAACCUCCGCCUUCCGGGUUGAAGCGAUUCUCCUAUCUCAGUUUCCAAAUAGCUGGGAUUACAGGCACCCACCAUGAGGGCCUCUUUCUGCUUAGUGGCCGUGGCCCUCCAUUAUUUCAGCAAUGGAUUGUUUCUUCGGACCACCUUUGACCAGCCUGUCACUUCAUGGACACCCUGCAGGGAGUUUCCAUAGAACAGCUCCAGCCGACCCGACCCUCUACUGAAUUUUCCAGAUACCCAGUGGAUUCCUCUUAUGAAUGAGCUCUGGCUGCAACCUCUGGCAAGUUUGUUGGCCAUAGUCUACAGGUAUUUGAAAGCAUGAACCUUGCACUGAUUCAAGUAAGAAGACAUUCGGGAGAGGUCCAAACAUCAGAUUUUCUUACACAGAGUGGAGAAGGAACAGUUUUUCCAUUUCCCUGGAAAGAAUUGAGUGAAGUUGACAGCAGGAUUGCAGAAGUGGGAGCACCCAAGGACCAACUGCCUGUGGAAAGGUGCUAGAAGCUACUGACUAGAGGUCUCCUGUGUGCUCAGAGCUGGACACUCUUUGGGACAACCUGCCUGUGGAAAGAAGCUACCCACUUCAGGUCUCCUGAGAGCUGUUCUGUUCCUCAAUGAAGCUCCUCUCUGCCUUGCUCACCCUCCAGUUGUCUGCAGAACUUAUUCUUCCUGGAUGUGGGACAGGCUGCAGAUGAUAAGGAGAGAAGAGAAGAGCUGUAGCCCUUUAGGGAUCCCAGACCUUAGGGGCUCUUCAGGUGUGGGAUCUGGACCAGAAGCAUGAGCCAACUGCAGCCUGCCGGGCUGAGUGGGCAGAAGGAGCCCAGCAGGUGUGAACAAUACUCAGGCAGAAAGCACUGCCAGCCACAGAGGUUUCCAGUUGGCAAAGCAACACCCCAAGGAUCCCAUGACAGUAAUAUUAUAAAAGGUGAUAGAUGAACCUACAAGACUAUCGCCAGCUAUGAUGCACUGUUAUCACAAAAGUUGUAACGAUUUGUACCUCAGAGUCACAAAUGUUUUAAAUGACUACCAAAAUGAAUUUUAGGAAAGUAUAUAGCAUGGUAAUGGCUUUCAUAGUGGUACCAGGAUAAAAAUUAAAACACAAUUGUAAGUUUUUAAAUUUAUUAUUGAAAUAAACUGGUGAUUUGGUGCGGUUAUUCCCAAUGUAACAGAAAUGUCUCUGUUAAACUGUAUCUCCAGAUUUAUGAUUUCUACUAAAUAAUAUUAUUAAAUAAUAUUACAACUAUCUAUUUUUUUAGUGCUGUAAUAGAGACUGUUUUGCUCAGGAAAUCCAUGAUAACCUUUUCUUAGUCUCACAGCAAGACUGUAGUUUCCAGGUUCCUUGCUUUAGGUAUUGCCACAUGACUGGGUUCCAGAAUAAAUAGAAUAUUCUGGAGCCUGUACUGGUAUACAGCAGUUCCAUGUCUGACCUAUAUAGAACAUGCAGUCCUCACUUUCUUUACUCACCUACUGGCUGAAUUGAGAGGAAUCUAAGCAUAUAGAAGAUGACAGAGCCUCAAGAUGUAAAGAAACUUUGUCACUGAAUGACUGUGUAGAACAGAGUCCCUCAUUCGACUGUAAAUUGUUGAAAGUUAAGCCACUGAAAUUAUGGAAUUACUUGUUAAAGUUUUCGUUUAUUCUUAUAAAUACAAACACCUGAAAAAAAAUCAAUAAAAGUAAGAUACCAAGGUG